UACGUAGGGUGCGAGCGUUGUCCGGAAUUAUUGGGCGUAAAGGGCUCGUAGGCGGUUUGUCACGUCGGGAGUGAAAACUCGGGGCUCAACCCCGAGCCUGCUUCCGAUACGGGCAGACUAGAGGUACGCAGGGGAGAAUGGAAUUCCUGGUGUAGCGGUGAAAUGCGCAGAUAUCAGGAGGAAUACCGGUGGCGAAGGCGGUUCUCUGGGCAUUACCUGACGCUGAGGAGCGAAAGUGUGGGGAGCGAACAGG
RNAcentral lists this ribosomal RNA (253 nucleotides) under uncultured bacterium. RNAcentral describes it as "partial 16S ribosomal RNA". It matches the Rfam family "Bacterial small subunit ribosomal RNA", at positions 524 to 776 of the family's 1533-position model. The record is from RNAcentral.